Molecule: ribosomal RNA, 253 nt
Filed under: uncultured bacterium
Lineage: Bacteria
Description: partial 16S ribosomal RNA
Rfam family: Bacterial small subunit ribosomal RNA
Source: RNAcentral
UACGUAGGUGGCAAGCGUUAUCCGGAAUUACUGGGCGUAAAGCGCACGCAGGCGGUCUUUUAAGUUUGACGUGAAAGCUCCCGGCUUAACUGGGAGAGGUCGUUGAAGACUGGAAGACUUGUGGCAAUGAGAGGGGUGUAGAAUUCCCGGUGUAGUGGUGGAAUGCGUAGAUAUCGGGGGGAAUACCAGUGGCGAAAGCGGCACCCUAGCGUUAGCCUGACGCUCAUGUGCGAAAGCGUGGGGAGCGAACGGG